This 71-nucleotide transfer RNA is filed under the name Loxodonta africana (African savanna elephant). It matches the Rfam family "tRNA". From Rfam's summary of the family: Transfer RNA (tRNA) molecules are approximately 80 nucleotides in length. The record is from Rfam by way of RNAcentral. Lineage: Eukaryota; Metazoa; Chordata; Mammalia; Proboscidea; Elephantidae.
GUAGUGGUGGUUCAGUGGUAAAAUUCUUGCCUUCCAAGCAGGAGAUAUGGGUUCCAUUCGCAGCCAAUGCC